GUGGGGAAUCUUGCGCAAUGGGCGAAAGCCUGACGCAGCCAUGCCGCGUGAAUGAUGAAGGUCUUAGGAUUGUAAAAUUCUUUCACCGGGGACGAUAAUGACGGUACCCGGAGAAGAAGCCCCGGCUAACUUCGUGCCAGCAGCCGCGGUAAUACGAAGGGGGCUAGCGUUGCUCGGAAUUACUGGGCGUAAAGGGCGCGUAGGCGGACAGUUUAGUCAGAGGUGAAAGCCCAGGGCUCAACCUUGGAAUUGCCUUUGAUACUGGCUGUCUUGAGUACGGGAGAGGUGAGUGGAACUCCGAGUGUAGAGGUGAAAUUCGUAGAUAUUCGGAAGAACACCAGUGGCGAAGGCGACUCACUGGCCCGUUACUGACGCUGAGGCGCGAAAGCGUGGGGAGCAAACAGGAUUAGAAACCGUGUAGUCC
Molecule: ribosomal RNA, 424 nt
Filed under: uncultured bacterium
Lineage: Bacteria
Description: partial 16S ribosomal RNA
Rfam family: Bacterial small subunit ribosomal RNA
Source: RNAcentral